CCUACGGGAGGCAGCAGUAGGGAAUCUUUCACAAUGGGCGAAAGCCUGAUGGAGCAAUGCCGCGUGCAGGACGAAGGCCUUCGGGUUGUAAACUGCUUUUAUAAGCGAGGAAUAUGACGGUAACUUAUGAAUAAGGAUCGGCUAACUACGUGCCAGCAGCCGCGGUAAU
Molecule: ribosomal RNA, 169 nt
Filed under: uncultured bacterium
Lineage: Bacteria
Description: partial 16S ribosomal RNA
Rfam family: Bacterial small subunit ribosomal RNA
Source: RNAcentral